CCCUUAGAUGAUUUGGGCUGCACGCGCGCUACACUGACCCUAACAAUGAGCAACUGUCUGGCCUGAGAUGGCUGGGUAGCCUUUUCAACCCAUGUCAUGAUUGGGCUAGAUUUUUGUAAGUCUUGAUCUCUAACGAGGAAUCCCUAGUAUGCGUGAAUCAUCAAUCCAUGCAGAUUAUGUCCCUGCCCUUUGUACACACCGCCCGUCGCUCUUACUGAUUGGGUGAUCCGGUGAGCUGUUCGGCCAUAGCAAUGUUUCUUGAGCAGGGCAAUGAAUGUUUCGCAAACCUUGCCACUUAGAGGAAGGAGAAGUCGUAACA
Molecule: ribosomal RNA, 319 nt
Filed under: uncultured eukaryote
Lineage: Eukaryota
Description: partial 18S ribosomal RNA
Rfam family: Eukaryotic small subunit ribosomal RNA
Source: RNAcentral